UCAGAUCAUGUAAGAUUUUAAUGAUCGAACAGAUCAAAAUUUUAAACUUUUGCAUUUAAAUUUUAUCUUAAUCCAACAUCGAGGUCGCAAACUUUUUUUUUUAUUUGAACUAAAAAAAAAUAUUACGCUGUUAUCCCUAAGGUAAUUUUUUCUUAUAAUCAUUAUUAAUGGAUCAUUUAAUCAUUUAUUUAUGUUUAAUUUUUAAAAAAAGUUUAUCAUAUUUUUCUAUCACCCCAAUAAAAUAAAUAAUUUUAUUUUAAUAAAAAAUUUAAUAUAAUUUUAAAAUAAAAAUAAAUAUAAAACUCUAUAGGGUCUUCUCGUCUUUUAAAAUUAUUUUAGCUUUUUAACUAAAAAAUAAAUUUCUAAAAAUAAAUAAGAGACAGUCUAUAUUUCAUCAAAUCUUUCAUACAAGUUUCCAAUUAAAAAACUAUUGAUUAUGCUACCUUUGUACAGUCAUUAUACUGCAGCCCUUUAAUAAUUAUCAGUGGGCAGAUUAGACUUUAAAUUAUAUUCAAAAAGACAUGUUUUUG
Molecule: ribosomal RNA, 530 nt
Filed under: Davidina diluta
Lineage: Eukaryota; Metazoa; Arthropoda; Insecta; Lepidoptera; Nymphalidae
Also listed under: 1 other name
Description: partial 16S rRNA
Source: RNAcentral